UACGUAGGGUGCAAGCGUUGUCCGGAAUUAUUGGGCGUAAAGAGCUCGUAGGCGGUCUGUCGCGUCGGCUGUGAAAACCCGAGGCUCAACCUCGGGCCUGCAGUCGAUACGGGCAAACUAGAGUACUGCAGGGGAGACUGGAAUUCCUGGUGUAGCGGUGAAAUGCGCAGAUAUCAGGAGGAACACCUAUGGCGAAGGCAGCUCUCUGGGACGGUACUGACGCUGAGACGCGAAAGCGUGGGGAGCAAACAGG
This 253-nucleotide ribosomal RNA is filed under the name uncultured bacterium. Its description in RNAcentral is "partial 16S ribosomal RNA". It matches the Rfam family "Bacterial small subunit ribosomal RNA", at positions 524 to 776 of the family's 1533-position model. The record is from RNAcentral.